UACAGAGGUCUCAAGCGUUGUUCGGAUUCAUUGGGCGUAAAGGGUGCGUAGGCGGCGCGGUAAGUCGGGUGUGAAAUCUCGGAGCUUAACUCCGAAACUGCAUUCGAUACUGCCGUGCUUGAGGACUGGAGAGGAGACUGGAAUUUACGGUGUAGCGGUGAAAUGCGUAGAUAUCGUAAGGAAGUCCAGUGGCGAAGGCGGGUCUCUGGACAGUUCCUGACGCUGAGGCACGAAGGUCAGGGGAGCAAACGGG
RNAcentral lists this ribosomal RNA (253 nucleotides) under uncultured bacterium. RNAcentral's name for it is "partial 16S ribosomal RNA". It matches the Rfam family "Bacterial small subunit ribosomal RNA", at positions 524 to 776 of the family's 1533-position model. The record is from RNAcentral.